Molecule: ribosomal RNA, 253 nt
Filed under: uncultured bacterium
Lineage: Bacteria
Description: partial 16S ribosomal RNA
Rfam family: Bacterial small subunit ribosomal RNA
Source: RNAcentral
UAUGGAGGGGGCUAGCGUUAUUCGGAAUUACUGGGCGUAAAGCGCACGUAGGCGGAUCGGAAAGUCAGAGGUGAAAUCCCAGGGCUCAACCUUGGAACUGCCUUUGAAACUCCUGGUCUUGAGGUCGUGAGAGGUGAGUGGAAUUCCGAGUGUAGAGGUGAAAUUCGUAGAUAUUCGGAGGAACACCAGUGGUGAAGGCGGCUCAUUGGCACGAUAUUGACGCUGAGGUGUGAAAGUGUGGGGAGCAAACAGG